GGGCGCGUAGCUCAGUGGGAGAGCACUGCCUUCACACGGCAGGGGUCGCUGGUUCGAAACCAGCCGCGCCCACCA
RNAcentral lists this transfer RNA (75 nucleotides) under Rhabdochromatium marinum. RNAcentral's name for it is "tRNA-Val". It matches the Rfam family "tRNA". Rfam says of the family: Transfer RNA (tRNA) molecules are approximately 80 nucleotides in length. Their secondary structure includes four short double-helical elements and three loops (D, anti-codon, and T loops). RNAcentral also lists the same sequence under 3 other names. The record is from RNAcentral. Lineage: Bacteria; Pseudomonadati; Pseudomonadota; Gammaproteobacteria; Chromatiales; Chromatiaceae.